CAUAAACCGCACUAUAUAAAAGAAAAUCGACAUAAAUUCACGCAGUUUUAGGUGCUGUUCCACCAUUCGUGGUUUCAGAAUUAAGUGUUCAGAAAAAUGUUCCGUUUCGUCAAAUUGGCACUACUGUUCACAGCCAUGUGGCUCCUGGUGGACUCUUCACCCCAGAAUGAACUGAAAGAAGGCGACUGUAACUGUGAAAACUGUGAAUGUAUAAGCAGAAGUGUUUGUCCGUCCGAAAGAAUCAUCAACUUACCCUGUCCCGGCAAUUUCAUAUUCGUUUGCUGCAACAUGACCACCGGUUUGGAGAACACCAAAUACGACAUCGAUACCGCGCAAAACGACAUUGUGUCCAUCGAAUUAAAACCAUAAAUAAAUAAUAGUUUAAAAAACUAAAAAAACACGCUUUUAUUGCUAAUCGAACUAAAAACUAGAAAAUAAUUUUUAAUGACAGAGUUUAAUAUUACAGUAGUAGAAGAUCAAAUAAUCAAUCAUAAUAAAUCACCUCAAAUUAAAAUUAUAAUAAAAUUUAAGUUAUUAACAGAAUAAUUCAAUUCAGAGUAAAAAGCGUGGGGUGCUUGAUAUUUUAAAUAUUACAAUCAUUCUAUUGGCAACUAUCUAUGAGAGGAUAGUUAUGAACCGCAGUAAAAUGCACCCCACGCUUUUUACUCUGAAUUGAAUUAUUCUGUUAAUAACUUAAAUUUUAUUAUAAUUUUAAUUUGAGGUGAUUUAUUAUGAUUGAUUAUUUGAUCUUCUACUACUGUAAUAUUAAACUCUGUCAUUAAAAAUUAUUUUCUAGUUUUUAGUUCGAUUAGCAAUAAAAGCGUGUUUUUUUAGUUUUUUAAACUAUUAUUUAUUUUUCAUUUUUUAGUCUGCGACAAAUUCAUAAAUUGGGGAAUUAAUUACUUAUUUAGAUUUUUCUAGAAAGAACCACUCAGUGGUCUCCGUAGGAUCGAGGAUCCUGGCGGUCGUAAUAAGGAUAAUGGGAAACUGUUAUCAAAUUAUUGCAUUGUCAUCGAUCCUUGAGACGUGUGCAAAGUUUCAAGAUGAUCAGACUUUUAGAAACCGAUGAAAAUUAAGCUCAAAGAUUCCGUUACAUACAUACAUACAACCCAAGCUAAUAAAAGCGUGAUAAAAACGCAUUAAUCGCCCACCUGACGCUUUCCUUUCCUUCUCCACGUCCGAGAAAUCCAAGGAGCUCUCCGUAAGCGAUCCGAUGACGUUUUUGCCCUCCUCGCUUUUUGGCGGGUCCUUCACGUCUUUCUCGCACUUGGCUAAUCUACCCCAUGUCCAUUCUGCGUCCACCGUGAUCCACGUUAUUAAAUCUUCCACUCGCAGGACGACUUUUUCCGAAAUGGCCAGUACUUCGUCCUGUGGAGAAAACAGAAUUACGUCAAGUUUGCUUAUCAUAUUCAAUCAAUGUAAUUUACUUAAAAUAUAAAUAUAAUUUGUGGUG
Zophobas morio is the source of this 1453-nucleotide long non-coding RNA. RefSeq lists it as uncharacterized. The record is from RefSeq and is a predicted model, not a curated record. NCBI's taxonomy places the organism in Eukaryota, Metazoa, Arthropoda, Insecta, Coleoptera, Tenebrionidae. The transcript has 3 exons.